AGUGUAGUUAUUCUGGUAGUUUGACUGUGCACCUUGGUGAGGCAUGCCUCCAUUGUUGGGCCCAUUCUGAAAGUUAUGCUGCAUGUUCCCAGGCAUGUUAUUGGACCAUCCUGGACUUUGAGGCACUCCUCCCAUGUUAUUGGGAGGCAUGCCUCCAAAAUUGUUGUGAGGUAUUCCUCCCAUGUUUUGUGGCCCACCCAUAUAGUUGUUAGGAGGCGGCGGUGGUGGCCCACGCAUAUAGUUGUUAGGGGGUGGUCUGCCCAUAUAGUUGUUAGGUGGUGGUGGUGGCAGCCCACCUGGUCCACUCAUGUUGCUCAGUGGCACUCCAGCCAUGUUGGAUGUGGGGUUCUGCAUGCCCUGAUUGUCCAUUGGAGCUGCCCUUGUGUUCUGGAAAUCUCUGUUCUGCAUAUUUUCCCUUCUUCUUUCAUAGUUUCUUGACCUGUCAAAGUUACGAGGCCUAUCGUUGCGCCUAUUUCUCUCAUUUGCCCUGGCAUUAUUCCUCAUCCAUUCUUCAUGGUACUUCGGAUCAUAGGGAACAGCUUUGCCAUCAAUAAAUGGUUCCCCUAUAACAGGUGUAAAAGCUCAUAUCAUGCACUACAUGUAGUUGCCAAUAACAACAAAGAGCAAGUGUGUGCGUCUGCAGUGGAAUCAGUAUGACAGGUGGAGACCCAGUUAAGGAGGCACUAAAGUCUAAAGUUCACUCGACUAUACAGCGUAAAACAUUUUAGCUGUAUAAUGCAGGAAUAAGAAAUCCUAAGGUGUCAAGAUGCAGGCAGUGAUCCAUGUAUCUGUGUCCCUCAAAGAAGAAUGCAAAGCAGGCACCUUCAAUUUAGGGUGUAUGCUUCGCAUAAGAACAUGGAUUUAUUCUGUGUUAAGAGAGAAAUGAGGUGGGUAGUGAAAUCAAUUAAUAGCAUGUAGCACAUCCCGCAGCAAGCAUUGUGUUUUUAACAAACCCCACACCCAGGACCCGAUGCUCAAACACACCAAGCCAUCCUCACCCAAAGAUAUGGUUCAUAAAGCAUUGUCCGCUAAGUUCCACUGCCUUUACCCUUCCAAAUCUUCGUCACAACAUUAAUAGAAUCCGAAAGAUAUGAAUCAUAAAGCAUUGUCCACAAAGUUCCACAGCCUUUACCCUUCCAAGUCUUUGUCACAAUAUUAAUAAAUCAAUUAUAGAAUCAGUAUAACCAAGUAAAUAACAAAAUAUUCUCAAUUGCAGUUAAAAGCAAGAGUAUCAUUACUGGCAAGACCUGAAAAAUAUGAAAACCAAAUUGCAAAACCGAAGUAAAUGACAACAAUAUUCCUCUUAAAACCAAGAAAACGGAAACUAAAGAUAAUAUGCAACAGAUAUCUUCAAUUCCUAGAUGAAUAGUUACUCUACUGAAUACAGUAAUAUAGAUGGGUUUCUGCAGCACUUAUGCCAUGAAAUAAAAGAAAACACCUCACCCCCAUAAUCUUUGUUCUUAACA
This 1466-nucleotide unclassified non-coding RNA is filed under the name Hevea brasiliensis (rubber tree). The record is from RNAcentral. Lineage: Eukaryota; Viridiplantae; Streptophyta; Magnoliopsida; Malpighiales; Euphorbiaceae.